This 233-nucleotide ribosomal RNA is filed under the name uncultured bacterium. Its description in RNAcentral is "partial 16S ribosomal RNA". It matches the Rfam family "Bacterial small subunit ribosomal RNA", at positions 794 to 1025 of the family's 1533-position model. The record is from RNAcentral.
UCCACGCAGUAAACGAUGAAUGUUAGUCGUCGGGGGGCUCGUCCUUUCGGUGAUGCAGCUAACGCAUUAAACAUUCCGCCUGGGGAGUACGGCCGCAAGAUUAAAACUCAAAGGAAUAGACGGGGACCCGCACAAGUGGUGGAGCAUGUGGUUUAAUUCGAAGAUACGCGAAGAACCUUACCUAGCCUUGACAUAUUAAAGAAUCCCCCAGAGAUGGAGGAGUGCCUUCGGGA